Molecule: ribosomal RNA, 849 nt
Filed under: Triticum aestivum (bread wheat)
Lineage: Eukaryota; Viridiplantae; Streptophyta; Magnoliopsida; Poales; Poaceae
Description: partial small subunit ribosomal RNA
Source: RNAcentral
AUGGAGCAGCGAGGGAGAGUAGGACGAAUCCUCUCCUUCCUUCUCUCUGAUUCCCUCGUUUUUCUCUUGGUAGGAUUCCAUCUGGAGCAGCAGCUGCCCUCCACGGAUGAUGACAUCACCAUGGACGGAGAUGGAGCAGCUGCAACAUCAACAACUCACCCGAUGCAUGCAGUGCGGUGCGGUGCUGGUGCAGUGCAGGGAGAGGACGACGACGCCCAGCCAUGGAUUUUGAGCAGCAGCAGCAGCUCAAGAAACGAGGCCUAUACAGAGCUAAUAGCAGCUACGCACGAGGCUGUCGCCGCCGGUGGCAAUUGGGGUAUUUCUUCAAACAUGUUGAUGGGGAGCAGUUGGCCCCUCGGCUGGGUUAAUCUUUCUCGGGACAAGGCUGAGUCUAAACUGGUUUGCAGAAAUGAGGCCGGCGGAACAAACAUUGGCUGCGCGCGAGGUUGUCGUCAUGGCUGGCAAUUGGGGUCUUUCGGCAAACAAGUCCAUGGGGGCAGUUGGUGCCUUGGCCGGAUUAAGCUUUCUGUGGAUGGCGCUGAGGUGAGCUUUGAGUAUGAGGUUGGCGUUUUAGAGUUUCAAGUAGUUGUAGCUUCUGUUGCUCCGACAAUCGGUCUAUCUUUUCAGCCUUUGGUCAUUGUGCGUUCGGUAUCCGAUGUGCUAAUGGUGGAUCUCUCACUUGCUGGGAGUAGCUUGACUAUGGACCCCUGUAGAUAUUCAAGUGCUUCUCAUAAGUUUCUCCUGAGUGCACAUGACUUCAUUUUCAUGAAUUCCAAUUUGAAGGCUUUCUGUUGUCCUGUAACAACGUCCACCAUGUAUGUUGUGAGAUAUAUAUCUGAUCACAUUUGA